AAUGACACUGCAAAAAUUUAUUGUCUGCAUUCCCCUAGAUGAUCAGAGCUUCUCCUCUCAAAACUCAUCUCUCUCUCUCUAAUCUUCACUAUUCUUUCUGGGUAAACAUCAACGAGAAGCACCAAAUUUCUCCAUUGUUAUUCUUGCAACUUAUCUGGAUUCCAAAAUGUUGAGCAACUGUCAUCAAUAAAGGAUUGUCAGCAGCGGCAUUAUCUCCGGCAGAGGUGUAACCACCGGUUUUCAUACAGAUCCGGUGGUUGUCACUAGAUUGAUGAGGUUUUGGUUGGGAUUCGCGACUUGGUGAGAUGUGCAGGUUAUAAGGUUGGUGACCAAGAUGAAAAGCUGGCAGAAGGUAUCAAGCUUUAGCUGGGGUGUUCGAGAGAUUUACCGAGAGACCAAUCAAAGUGGUGAUAUUGUUGAUAGUUCGGGUUCGGCUACGGAUGUGUCGUUUUCGAAUAGUACGAAAAGGGUGUUUGAAGUUGCGGUUGAGUAUUCAAGAACUAUGGGGAAAAUAAAUAAGAAGAGUGCAGGACUGGGGAUGAAACAUUUCGAUCUUAAUUAAGUGGGAGAAGUAGAGUUGCCGCGGUUCAUAACCAGUUUGAACAUGCCAAUUGUUUGAACGCAUCUUCAUCCUUAGUGAACUGGUUCGUGUUAUCUUAUAUAAAUUUCAAAUAUACAAUAAAUAAUCUAGUACGUAGCCUUAUUUUACCAUGGCCAGGCAACAUGUUUGUUUAUUAGCACCAUUAGCAGUUGGCACAAAGGGUUUGGGGCCAGGUAGGGUAAAAGGUUCGAUACCAUUUACUUAUAGACAUGUAUGUUGAUUCUAUGGGUCAUGUUUUAUCUCUAGCGCCAAAUGGGUUAAUGGGGUUGAAA
Helianthus annuus (common sunflower) is the source of this 873-nucleotide long non-coding RNA. RefSeq lists it as uncharacterized. NCBI's taxonomy places the organism in Eukaryota, Viridiplantae, Streptophyta, Magnoliopsida, Asterales, Asteraceae. The transcript has 4 exons. The record is from RefSeq and is a predicted model, not a curated record.